GUAAUAGAUACAUUCUUGAAACCCAAAGAAUUUGGCGGUAUUUUAGUCCUUCCAGAGGAAUCUGUCCCGUAAUCGACAGCCCACGAAUAGAGUUACUUAGUUUUGUUUAGUCAGUUUGUAUACCUUCGUCAUAAGAGUAUCUUUUUAGAGAUAAUUUUCUUAAUAUACUUGUUAUAGUAUGUCAGAUCAAGGUGCAAUUUAUAAUUAAGUGGAGAUGGAUUACAAUAAAUUUAUUUAAAUGGAUUAAUUUAUUUAAAAUUUUAUGAAGGUGGAUUUGGUAGUAAUGUUAUUAUAUUAUUAAUUUGAUUUUGGCUCUAAAAUAUGCACACAUC
Molecule: ribosomal RNA, 332 nt
Filed under: Petalura gigantea
Lineage: Eukaryota; Metazoa; Arthropoda; Insecta; Odonata; Petaluridae
Description: partial 12S ribosomal RNA
Source: RNAcentral